GUGAGUCAUCGAAUCUUUGAACGCACAUUGCGCCCUUUGGUAUUCCUUAGGGCAUGCCUGUUCGAGCGUCAUUUAAACCCCUCAAGCUCUGCUUGAUGUUGGGCGUUUGUCCCGCCCUGUCGCGUGGACUCGCCUUAAAAUCAUUGGCGGCCCGCGUAUUGGCUCAGAGCGCAGCAGAAUCGCGUCUCGGGACCCAGUGCGCGGGCGUCCAGCAAGGAAAACUCCAAUUUUGACCUCGGAUCAGGUAGGGAUACCCGCUGAACUUAAGCAUAUCAAUAAGCGGAGGA
Molecule: unclassified non-coding RNA, 287 nt
Filed under: fungal sp.
Lineage: Eukaryota; Fungi
Description: partial contains 5.8S ribosomal RNA, internal transcribed spacer 2, and large subunit ribosomal RNA
Rfam family: 5.8S ribosomal RNA (bases 1-71)
Source: RNAcentral